UUGGGCUUUAGCUUAAUUAAAGUGUUUGAGUUGCAUUCAUGAGAUGUAAGAUAGUCUUGCAAGUUCGA
This 68-nucleotide transfer RNA is filed under the name Plethodon teyahalee (southern Appalachian salamander). RNAcentral describes it as "tRNA-Ala". The record is from RNAcentral. Lineage: Eukaryota; Metazoa; Chordata; Amphibia; Caudata; Plethodontidae.